UCUCAACCCCGGAUGUUAGGUGAGCGUUCAAUGGACAUGUUCGUGGCUCCCUCUCCCAUGUUCUAAUGUCGGCAGCCUUUUUUCUUCAUGCUGUUGACUUUCUCCAGUAAAAGAAAUUAUCAGAAGAUUUUCUCUAAACUAGUCAUUAUUUAUUUUUUUAAGAUUUUAAUGAUUUUUACUAGGUUAUAAUUAUACUGGUUUAAUUUAAAUUUUUUUUGGGGGGGCUCUCCAUCCGUUGUGGUUGGUUUAAAUAAUCUCGCUCUAGUUUUUUGGUUUGAUCUUGG
Molecule: long non-coding RNA, 284 nt
Filed under: Actinidia chinensis (golden kiwifruit)
Lineage: Eukaryota; Viridiplantae; Streptophyta; Magnoliopsida; Ericales; Actinidiaceae
Description: long non-coding RNA (ACHI_LNC003637)
Source: RNAcentral